Long non-coding RNA from Acanthopagrus latus (yellowfin seabream), 665 nucleotides. RefSeq lists it as uncharacterized. The transcript is spliced from 4 exons. Lineage: Eukaryota; Metazoa; Chordata; Actinopteri; Spariformes; Sparidae. The record is from RefSeq and is a predicted model, not a curated record.
ACAAGAAGCUAGCUAGCAGAGCGUGUUAUUGAGAGCGAUUGACGUGACUGUCAAAUCUUCAGUAUAGCGUGUUUGAUAAUACAUGACGACAGGCUCGGUUAGACAAAAGAGGUCGACAUCCUGCAUCUGGAGAUGGAGGCGCACGUUUAGGAGAGGCUGCCUGUGAUCUCACACUCCGACGCCGCUGUUUGUCACCACAGACAGCGACUUUUCUUAGCCAACCGGAGUAAGCUAGGUUAGCUUUAGUUCGCUAACUAGCAACGGCAGAACAGGGGGUCACUGACUCUUUAAAUAUAAGGGUUAACCUCCUUUAUAACGUAACGUCGCUGUCUGCCCUAAUACCAAAGGAGAAUUGGGAGAAGACAGGGCAGUGUUGUGUUGCUGGAGGAAGAUGUAAAUGAAGAGUGGUUAGAGUGAUGCCCUGAGAGGACACUUUGAAGUGGACCACCGUUGCUGCUGGACGUGGACUCAGAGCCAAAGUACACUUGGUUGCCUUGGAAACAGCCUCGGGGCCCGUCAACGAUUCAGUUUCCACAGAGUUCAGCCCUUGAUCUUCACGCCCCGUGGCCCCGUCUCGAUGAGGAAGUGUCUCACCAGCUGUUCCAGAGGGUCCCCUGGGAGAGGAGAGAGGAGGGUGAAAAGGGAGGAGGGGGAGAGGAUCAAAA